GGUGGGGAUGACGUCAAGUCAUCAUGGCCCUUACGACCAGGGCUACACACGUGCUACAAUGGCGCAUACAAAGAGAAGCGACCUCGCGAGAGCAAGCGGACCUCAUAAAGUGCGUCGUAGUCCGGAUUGGAGUCUGCAACUCGACUCCAUGAAGUCGGAAUCGCUAGUAAUCGUGGAUCAGAAUGCCACGGUGAAUACGUUCCCGGGCCUUGUACACACCGCCCGUCACACCAUGGGAGUGGGUUGCAAAAGAAGUAGGUAGCUUAACCUUCGGGAGGGCGCUUACCACUUUGUGAUUCAUGACUGGGGUGAAGUCGUAACAAGGUAACCGUAGGGGAACCUGC
RNAcentral lists this ribosomal RNA (344 nucleotides) under Salmonella enterica subsp. enterica. Its description in RNAcentral is "bacterial SSU rRNA". It matches the Rfam family "Bacterial small subunit ribosomal RNA", at positions 1172 to 1515 of the family's 1533-position model. The record is from RNAcentral. RNAcentral also lists the same sequence under 1 other name. Lineage: Bacteria; Pseudomonadati; Pseudomonadota; Gammaproteobacteria; Enterobacterales; Enterobacteriaceae.